ACGAACGCUGGCGGCGUGCUUAACACAUGCAAGUCGAACGGUGAAGCCCUUCGGGGUGGAUCAGUGGCGAACGGGUGAGUAACACGUGAGCAACCUGCCCCUGGCUCUGGGACAACCACUGGAAACGGUGGCUAAUACCGGAUACGACCCGCCUCGGCAUCGAGUGUGGGUGGAAAGUUUUUCGGCUGGGGAUGGGCUCGCGGCCUAUCAGCUUGUUGGUGAGGUGAAGGCUCACCAAGGCGACGACGGGUAGCCGGCCUGAGAGGGCGACCGGCCACACUGGGACUGAGACACGGCCCAGACUCCUACGGGAGGCAGCAGUAGGGAAUAUUGCACAAUGGGCGAAAGCCUGAUGCAGCGACGCCGCGUGAGGGAUGACGGCCUUCGGGUUGUAAACCUCUUUCAGCUCCGAAGAAGCGAAAGUGACGGUAGGAGCAGAAGAAGCACCGGCUAACUACGUG
Molecule: ribosomal RNA, 461 nt
Filed under: uncultured bacterium
Lineage: Bacteria
Description: partial 16S ribosomal RNA
Rfam family: Bacterial small subunit ribosomal RNA
Source: RNAcentral